Molecule: long non-coding RNA, 758 nt
Filed under: Daucus carota (carrot)
Lineage: Eukaryota; Viridiplantae; Streptophyta; Magnoliopsida; Apiales; Apiaceae
Description: long non-coding RNA (DCAR_LNC006939)
Source: RNAcentral
GUUAUUUCUUUUUCCACCUUGUGGUACAUAAAGUUUAAAUGCCCUGUGCAAUAGGAAUAUGUCAGUACAUAAUCCGCAUCUUUUAUAUAUAAUUAAGUACUUGAAAUCAAAAUUAAAAUCUAACUUACGUUCGUGCCGGGGUCGUCAACCUUAUAUCUCGUUCCCUUCUCAAGGAAUCAAACACAUAAAUAACACUCUCAUCCAAACAAAACAGAAGUAACAUCCAAUGAUCACUACAACAAUGCACACACAUAAAUGAUAAAAACAUACAUAUUGUUAUAAUAUCUAUGAAAUGACUCGAAUACAUUAAUUUUGUUCUUACUCUUGGAUGUAUGGUGCAAUGAUGAAACGCUUAUCUUUGUUUGCAACUAAAAAUUGUGUCAUAUAUUGAGUUGCAUCCUCAAUACGAUUGUAUUCACGCUUGUGAUUUAUCACUAGUCUAGAAGGUGACAUAAAUGCAAACCUAUCAUCGUUUAGCUCUUUGCACAACUUCCCAAUGUACCUACAAAAUCAUAUAUCACAAUGAACAUGCAUGGUAAUAAACAAUACAAGAGCAGAGUAUUAGGAGAAUAAGAACUGUUCUUACUUUGAAAAGAUUUCCAAGAUGGGUAUAUUUAACCAGCUCCUUUUUAGAAAUUGAUCAACAUCUUCGUAUGUCACAUAUAUAGGUUCUCCAUCUUGUUCAAAAGUAAAAGUUGUACCUUUUGCAUUAGAUUGCUCAAGCAAGUAGCGCAAGGAUCGACAAUUUUGAGUUGAAU